RNAcentral lists this small RNA (63 nucleotides) under Arabidopsis thaliana (thale cress). RNAcentral's name for it is "ATSL130580". The record is from RNAcentral. Lineage: Eukaryota; Viridiplantae; Streptophyta; Magnoliopsida; Brassicales; Brassicaceae.
CAUUGGAGAACAAGGAGAGGUUUGUGAAUGCGGAAGGUGUAGAGCUGAUGAUUAUUAUCAUGA